Molecule: ribosomal RNA, 253 nt
Filed under: uncultured bacterium
Lineage: Bacteria
Description: partial 16S ribosomal RNA
Rfam family: Bacterial small subunit ribosomal RNA
Source: RNAcentral
GACAGAGGUGCCGAGCGUUAGGCGGAAUCACUGGGCUUAAAGCGUGUGUAGGCGGGUCCGUAAGUACCUUGUGAAAUCCCACCGCUCAACGGUGGAACUGCUCGGUAUACUGCGGGUCUUGAGCUGUCUAGGGGCGACCGGAACAAGCGGUGGAGCGGUGAAAUGCGUAGAUAUUCGCAAGAACACCAGUGGCGAAGGCGGCUCACUGGCCCGAUACUGACGCUGAGGCACGAAAGCGUGGGGAGCAAACAGG